UGUUUGCUCUAGAGUGUGGGCUGUAA
This 26-nucleotide unclassified non-coding RNA is filed under the name Mus musculus (house mouse). RNAcentral describes it as "oocyte_clustered_small_RNA1428". Lineage: Eukaryota; Metazoa; Chordata; Mammalia; Rodentia; Muridae. The record is from RNAcentral.